AUGAAAGAACACUUUGAUGUUCGCAACGUGAGUGGAAUUGACCGCUCCGAGAGAUCACUUCGGUCCCGGUGGUCGACAAUCAACUCGGAUUGUCAAAGGUGGGUGGCCUGUCAAAAGGCGGUUGACAAGUUGAACCCAAGUGGCACAAAUGAGGACGAUAGAGUAAGUGAGGAGAGGAAAACCAAGAAGGGGAAGAUCAAGAAAGGAAGGAUCUUUACCUUUCCUCGUUGCUAUGAAGUGUUGAAGGAUGAUGAGAAAUGGAAGAAGCGUGAAGAUUUGGAUGAUUUGCUUUUGAGCAACAAACGCAAGCGAACAAUUGAGUUGAAUGAUGAUGAUGAUGAUGAGGAUGAUGCAUCAAGUGAUGACGGCAAGAGAAGCCCCACACCCAACUCGGUUUCAUACUCAAAGCCAAAACGACCGGAUGGGUGCAAGAAAUACAAAGCAGAAAAGAAGAAGAGGAAAGGAGAUGAUGAGAUCAAAAAUGCUAUGGAAGCAAUUGUCAACGCAAGAAGAGAAGCCAACAAGGUGAGGAAAGUGGCAAGGAACCAAGAUGCCGCGGCCGAUGAGAGGAGGUUGGCAGCCGAGGAGAGGAGGGUGGAGCGAACUAGAUUGUUGGAAUGGGAGAAGCACUUGUUUUUCUUGGACACAUCUAACCUCAAUGAGGUGCAAAAGGAGUUUGUCAAUCUUUUCCGUGAAGAAGUGUUG
RNAcentral lists this ribosomal RNA (705 nucleotides) under Triticum aestivum (bread wheat). RNAcentral's name for it is "partial small subunit ribosomal RNA". The record is from RNAcentral. Lineage: Eukaryota; Viridiplantae; Streptophyta; Magnoliopsida; Poales; Poaceae.